AUAAGCAUACGCACACACACACAUAUACAGCAAACACAUAUAGAGCAAAGAAUACAAAAAUGAUACAAAAUGUGUGUGUGUGUGUGUGUGUGUGUGUGUGUGUGUGU
This is a non-coding RNA of Podarcis lilfordi (Lilford's wall lizard), 107 nucleotides long. The record is from the annotation of a GenBank genome assembly. NCBI's taxonomy places the organism in Eukaryota, Metazoa, Chordata, Lepidosauria, Squamata, Lacertidae.